CAAUAGCGUAUAUUUAAGUUGCUGCAGUUAAAAAGCACGUAGUUGGAUUUCGGGUGGGAAUGGCCGGUCCGCCGUUUCGGUGUGCACUUGCUACGCCCACCUUGCUGCCGGGGACGUGCUCUUGAGUUCACGCUCGGGACACGGAGUCGGCGAGGUUACUUUGAGUAAAUUAGAGUGUUCAAAGCAGGCCUACGCUCUGAAUACAUUAGCAUGGAAUAACACGAUAGGACUCUGGCCUAUCUUGUUGGUCUGUAGGACCGGAGUAAUGAUUAAGAGGGACAGUCGGGGGCAUUCGUAUUUCAUUGUCAGAGGUGAAAUUCUUGGAUUUAUGAAAGACGAACUACUGCGAAAGCAUUUGCCAAGGAUGUUUUCAUUAA
Molecule: ribosomal RNA, 377 nt
Filed under: uncultured eukaryote
Lineage: Eukaryota
Description: partial 18S ribosomal RNA
Rfam family: Eukaryotic small subunit ribosomal RNA
Source: RNAcentral